This 612-nucleotide small RNA is filed under the name Pan troglodytes (chimpanzee). RNAcentral describes it as "processed transcript". The record is from RNAcentral. Lineage: Eukaryota; Metazoa; Chordata; Mammalia; Primates; Hominidae.
GUCCCCGGAAGGAGGGCCGGGCCGGGCCGGGGCGGGGGAGCGAGGGUUUUUCGUUGGAAUAUACGUUGCACAUUUAUGGCGAUUCUGAGUGUGAGGGCAGACUUCUGCCAGGCUCAGCACAGCAUUUUCGCUGACAAGUGAGCUUGGAGGUUCUAUGUGCCAUAAUUAACAUUGCCUUGAAGACUCCUGGACACCGAGACUGGCCUCAGAAAUAGUUGGCUUUUUUUUUUUUUUAAUUGCAAGCAUAUUUCUUUUAAUGACUCCAGUAAAAUUAAGCAUCAAGUAAACAAGUGGAAAGUGACCUACACUUUUAACUUGUCUCACUAGUGCCUAAAUGUAGUAAAGGCUGCUUAAGUUUUGUAUGUAGUUGGAUUUUUUGGAGUCCGAAGGUAUCCAUCUGCAGAAAUUGAGGCCCAAAUUGAAUUUGGAUUCAAGUGGAUUCUAAAUACUUUGCUUAUCUUGAAGAGAGAAGCUUCAUAAGGAAUAAACAAGUUGAAUAGAGAAAACACUGAUUGAUAAUAGGCAUUUUAGUGGUCUUUUUAAUGUUUUCUGCUGUGAAACAUUUCAAGAUUUAUUGAUUUUUUUUUUUUCACUUUCCCCAUCACACUCACA